UACGGAGGAUGCGAGCGUUAUCCGGAUUUAUUGGGUUUAAAGGGUGCGUAGGCGGCCGAGUAAGUCAGCGGUGAAAUUUUGCAGCUUAACUGUAACAGUGCCGUUGAUACUGCAUGGCUAGGAUUUGGUUGCUGUGGGUGGAAUGUGUGGUGUAGCGGUGAAAUGCUUAGAUAUCACACAGAAUAUCAAUUGCGAAGGCAGCUCACAAAGCCAAGAUUGACGCUGAGGCACGAAAGCGUGGGGAUCAAA
Molecule: ribosomal RNA, 249 nt
Filed under: uncultured prokaryote
Description: partial 16S ribosomal RNA
Rfam family: Bacterial small subunit ribosomal RNA
Source: RNAcentral